AAAUUUGGAUUAAUACCUCAUAAUAUUGUUUUUUGGCAUCAUUAAACAAUUAAAACUUCGGUGGUUAUAGAUGAGCAUGCGUCCUAUUAGCUUGUUGGUAAGGUAACGGCUUACCAAGGCAACGAUAGGUAGGGGGCCUGAAAGGGUGAUCCCCCACACUGGUACUGAGACACGGACCAGACUCCUACGGGAGGCAGCAGUGAGGAAUAUUGCGCAAUGGAGGAAACUCUGACGCAGCCAUGCCGCGUGCAGGAAGACGGCCCUACGGGUUGAAACUGCUUUUAUAUAGGAGAAACCCCGAUACGUGUAU
RNAcentral lists this ribosomal RNA (310 nucleotides) under uncultured Bacteroidota bacterium. RNAcentral's name for it is "bacterial SSU rRNA". It matches the Rfam family "Bacterial small subunit ribosomal RNA", at positions 154 to 464 of the family's 1533-position model. The record is from RNAcentral. Lineage: Bacteria; Pseudomonadati; Bacteroidota.